GAGUGGGUGUUUGUCCAGAAGUCUAGAUGUGUGCCAUCUCCAAUGAGGGACCUGGGUGCAUGAGGUUACAGAGAGAUUAUCCUAAAGCUGCCUCCUUCUAGCUUGUAAUCUAGUGAUUUCCUAUCCCAGCACAGCAGUUUAUUACAGUAAGGACAUAAUUUAGCAUCUCUCUGAACAUACCAUUAUUACUGAAUGUAUCGUAAUUAGUUCCUGCUUGCGAAGUACUUGCACACGGAGGAACAUAUUGUACGCGGGUGAGCCAGUGAGACCACAGGAACAGAGCGGUGGAGUCCUGAAAUCUGCCUUGCUCCAGACAGCUGAGAGAAGAGAUAAUGGAUAAACAGCAGCAAUGAGAGUUUCUUCAGCCCACCUCGACAAGAAGCCUAGAGCUCAUUUUGCAGCGCCGUCCUCCACGCCACUUCUGCUGCUGGCUCAGGAGCCAGUGCCACUGAGGUUCUCAACAGAUGAUGCUAUUAAUACAACCCCCUACUAUUUAUUUUUUUCUGUAUGAAAGGGAAUGGACAUACUUGUUUUGCUUACACAGUCCUCUGAAGAGCCAUUAGGUGGUACUAAUGGUGCUUUCGACUGCUGGCAUCUGUUCUAGCUGGGGUUUGAGUAGGGGCCUUGAAGGUAGAGGGCUUUCAAAAACCCAUUUGCUUGCCAAUCCCCUGAGGAAUACCAGCUAUGUUGGUAUCAACAUACUGAAAGAUGUGUGAUACCAGCCAGCAAGCCAGGUGCUCUCAAUGGCAGCAUAAUAGUUU
Molecule: long non-coding RNA, 761 nt
Organism: Harpia harpyja (harpy eagle)
Lineage: Eukaryota; Metazoa; Chordata; Aves; Accipitriformes; Accipitridae
Exons: 3
Source: RefSeq, a predicted model, not a curated record